UACGUAGGGCGCAAGCGUUGUCCGGAAUUAUUGGGCGUAAAGAGCUCGUAGGCGGCUUGUCACGUCGGGUGUGAAAGCCCGGGGCUUAACCCCGGGUCUGCAUUCGAUACGGGCUAGCUAGAGUGUGGUAGGGGAGAUCGGAAUUCCUGGUGUAGCGGUGAAAUGCGCAGAUAUCAGGAGGAACACCGGUGGCGAAGGCGGAUCUCUGGGCCAUUACUGACGCUGAGACGCGAAAGCGUGGGGAGCAAACAGG
This 253-nucleotide ribosomal RNA is filed under the name uncultured bacterium. Its description in RNAcentral is "partial 16S ribosomal RNA". It matches the Rfam family "Bacterial small subunit ribosomal RNA", at positions 524 to 776 of the family's 1533-position model. The record is from RNAcentral.